UAACCUCUGGUAUUUACGAAUGUUG
Molecule: non-coding RNA, 25 nt
Filed under: unclassified sequences
Source: RNAcentral